RNAcentral lists this unclassified non-coding RNA (249 nucleotides) under Hevea brasiliensis (rubber tree). Lineage: Eukaryota; Viridiplantae; Streptophyta; Magnoliopsida; Malpighiales; Euphorbiaceae. The record is from RNAcentral.
UGCAAUUUUGUCAAACUUAUGUCAGAUAUCAUCUUAAUGUGCGAGUGUUCUAUUGUUUCAGGAUUAGUGGAAGAUAUUAUUCAAUUUUAUAAGAGAGUAUAUAAUUUGGUAAAAGAUGAAGCUGCUGCCCAUUUAAGAUUUUUAACCUAGCACUUUGCUUUGAUCUUAAAUCGUACAUGCACGGUAACAUUUGGAUAUUAGUGAGAGAUAAUCUUCAAUUCUCUUUGAAGCAUAUACCGUUGGUAAGAG